GUUUACUGUGUUAAAAUGUUACUACCGUUUUAAAGUCGGUUUCACAUAAAGUAGACUUUCAACAAAACUUUCACUAAAAAAAAGAAACUGGGAAAAGAUCAGCAUCGUGUUACAAUGAGUAUUUGUAUGUGGAUUUAUUCCAUUGAAGUUAUAGAAUUUAUUUACUAUCUGUACUCUUGUUAAUGCUUUAAUUACCAUAAUGGAAAAAAUCCAGCCCUGCUGGUUUUUUCUUUCUUUCAAUCCCUUUCCAGUUUCUUUGAAGACACAGCAAAAGAUAACAGCGAAUAUUUAGGUGACUGUGGCAACUAAUCAAUCUAAUAACUCACCACACAAUAGUUUAUCAGUUGAGUUGAUUUGCUUGUGUGUUAGACAGUUAAUGACAAGAAAUCCCUGCUAUUUACAUGAGUCUGUCAUGAUUUCACUGUGCAGCCAGACUUCCAGCAGUUUUUUGACACUCAGGACUUGUCAUCCUCCCUCCAUUCCUCAUCAGCCUCAUUACUCCCACCUGAUCUGAGCUGUUUCAUUUCCUCUGCUCCAUUUAACGUCUCUGUCAGUUUGUUAUAUAUAUAGUCAUGUCAUUUUCUACCUCUUGGUGCUAACUACAUUUCUGUCUUUGGAUUUUAUUUUACCGUACUCAGACAGAGUAUCUUGUUAGAAUUUUUGCUCCUCACCCCUUUUUUGGUGCUUCUGGCUUCCCAUCCAUCAGUUACGCUCAGGGCAUUCAUCUGUGUCCUCAUGUUGCUCACUCUCAACCCUUUCAAGUUGCCAGUGCGUAUGAAGUCUUCUGCAUGUCACUGAUGCCCCUGCUGUCUCUCAAAAUAUGGUCAACGAUCUGCAAAGAGACAUAACAAAUAGGGUAAUUUUUGUGGAUCUUAACAAUAUUCUUUUUUUUUUCACGUUACGCAGCAGAGGAUGUCCAGCACAUGAGGACAGUUUUACACUGUUUACAUCAAAACUGACUGUCAAGGCGGAAAAAGGUAAAUAUUAUGUCAACUCUUGUCUCUUAUCUUGACUUUAAUAGACAAGUCCAGAUGGACCCCUGCAAGGUGCAAGCAGCUCCAUCAUGACCCACCCAUAGGGAACCAUGAGUUUGCCCAUUUUUUGCCUGCAGAAAGCCUGCAGACUGUGAGGACCUCGACUGUCUCAACUAUGGAUUCAUCCUUCUUUAGCUACCAUCCGGACAGACCAGGAAAAUUAAGUACAACAAAGCCUGCCUCCAUUCCUCCUGAAGCCCAGAUUCCUGAAGCACCAUCUUGUCCUCUCUUGUAUUUGUUAUCUACAUUCAUCUUCCUGCUGGAUCUCAGCAUCCCUAUUCUGUAAUCAUGGACCAAGUCCUGGAUACACAAGAAGGAAACAGAUGCAAAAUAUCAGCUGUUCUGUCUUGUCAUUUACAAUUUAACCUCCAUUGUCUACCUAAGAGUUUCUUCUGCGUGCAGUAAAUCCCAAAUCCAGCAUUUGCUCCUGGAUAGAAGGUUUCUCCUCAUUUUUUUAUUCCAGUGUUUUAUUAAAAUCCUGCAUCUUUCCGUGCUGAGGGGCAGUUGCUCUGCUUGCUUGCAUGUCAACAUCUACACCUCUGUUCAAUACAUCUAUUUUACGUCUCUGAAGGUUGUCCAUUUCUCUCAACAAUGUCAGCAUUUAGGAUUAAUGUCAUGUAUUUCUUCUGUAAACUUUUUUGGGGGCAUGUAUAAUAAACGCUCACAACAGAGAGGCUUCACUUUUAAUGUACCCAUUUUUCAUCCUCUGUUCGUUUUUCCCCAUCUCAUAUUAUCUUCCUCUCCUUUUCUUCUCUCUGGGCCCUUCCCCAUCCAGUGUGUUUUGUUCACUCCCUGGAGUUUGUUUUAGGUAACCGUCAUUGCCUCACAGCACUUAUCCCACACCACAAACCACAAGUAAUAGUUGAUUUAAGAUGUUAUCUGGCUGAACUUAGACUGGUGUGUUACGGCAGCAAGACUGCCGGCUGCAAGUAUGUUUUUCUCUGAUGUGGAAGCGUGUGUAUUUAUGUGUCAACAGCCGCAGAACUGAAUUCCCAAAUUAGUCUGUGGUUCGUCUGAGCUUCGGAAAAUAGCUUUGUGCAGCAGCCGAAAGAUGUGGUGGAAUUGUGAAGAUUAUGUCUCUGUGUGCUUGUGCACAUACCGGCCUGUUAUAUUAACCUAAUCCACAAUCUUAUAAAGUUGGACACGGAGAAACACUGAGGGGAGCAGUGAGCUCAUAUGGUGCUGUAGGGCAAUUUUCCUGUAUCAAAUACACAUCCAAGUACUCACACAUAAAUUUAAUGCUCCACCUGAGCUUCAUAUUUUUUUAUCUUAAAUGUAAAGCGACUUUA
Molecule: long non-coding RNA, 2323 nt
Organism: Oryzias latipes (Japanese medaka)
Lineage: Eukaryota; Metazoa; Chordata; Actinopteri; Beloniformes; Adrianichthyidae
Source: RefSeq, a predicted model, not a curated record